RNAcentral lists this ribosomal RNA (367 nucleotides) under uncultured organism. RNAcentral's name for it is "bacterial LSU rRNA". It matches the Rfam family "Bacterial large subunit ribosomal RNA", at positions 2099 to 2465 of the family's 2925-position model. The record is from RNAcentral.
CUUUACUGUAGCCUGGUAUUGGGUUCGGGCUUUGACUGCGCAGGAUAGGUGGGAGACUGAGAAGUGUGCCUUGUGGGGCACAUAGAGUCAACGGUGAGAUACCACUCUGUCAGAGCUAGAAUUCUAACCUUCACCCGUGAUCCGGGGAAGGAACCGUAUCAGGUGGGCAGUUUGACUGGGGCGGUCGCCUCCUAAAAGGUAACGGAGGCGCGCAAAGGUGUUCUCAGGCUGGUUGGAAAUCAGCCGUAGAGUGUAAAGGCAGAAGAACGCUUGACUGUGAGAGUGACAACUCAAGCAGGGUGGAAACACGGCCUUAGUGAUCCGACGGCACUGAGUGGAAGGGCCGUCGCUCAACGGAUAAAAGUUA